UGGCCUGCUGUCAACAUUCUAUUCUGUAAAGUGAGUGUGGGGAUUGUCCACAGUACUGAGUAUGUAAGUCGCCUUGGAUAGAAGCCUGUGGGCAAUCCCCACAGGAGCAAUUUGGGGUUUGAACCUGUGCUCCCCUGAUCCCAACACCAACGCACUAUCCACUGCGCCACACGCCUCCAUAAACAUUUGGGAUAAUGUGAGCACACAACUCAAGUAAUUACAUGAGGUUUUAUAUUGAAAAACUGUGAAAUGCAGCGAUUUAUUUUCAUAGAUUCGUAUUUAUUUUUUUGGAAAUGUACGACAGCAUGUUCCUGAUAUUGAUAUUUACGAGUGCUCCCAUUAGGCAUCAUCUUGUGGUCUGUAGACGUUUUAAUGCAGUGACAUGUUGAGAGAUGUUGGAGGCGUGUUAUCUCUGAGUCAGAUGCAGAUGAUACCAUUCUUUCUUUUUUCUGCAGCGUCCGGUUUCACAGCAGAUCUAAGUUUAGCCGCUCGCUGCCGUGCAGAAAAACACUUUCUGAACCGCUGCUAGUUUUAAUAACUCAAUACUUCACCUCCACUGAGAGCGGCCGGCGUGAGAGUCAGUUCGUAGAAAGAGAUUUGAGUCAGUUUGUAAUCAGAGGAUUUAAUGCAGAACCUGUCACUACAGCACUUUUUAAUUGAACGUAGAGAUUAAAAGUGUGUCAGCUGCUCCCUCCUGUGGUCAAACUAAGCUACUUUUCUUUCCAUGCAUUUGUUUACUGAGUGCUUUUAAUGUUGUUUUUGUUUACAUCCACAGUCGCAAGCAGUGUGUUUGAGUUUGUUCAAUUAUAGCCUGAAUUUAGAGCCUUAUGAAAACACUCCUACGGAAGAGGAUUAGGGACAAAUGGGAAUUCUUUUUUGAACGAGAUCAUCGACAGAGACAUCAGCGGACUUCAGUUCACGGACCAGCAGCCGUACCGCAGAGACUGAAACUCACGAGCCUCAAGUGCCUGAAAACCAUAGAGAAACACCGAGACGCCUCGUUAGGAAACACCGAGACGCCUCGUUAGGAAACAUCGAGACGCCUCGUUAGGAAACACAGAGACGCCUCGUUAGGAAACACCGAGACGCCUCGUUAGGAAACACCGAGACGCCUCGUUAGGAAACACAGAGACGCCUCGUUAGGAAACACCGAGACGCCUCGUUAGGAAACACAGAGAUGCCUCGUUAGGAAACACCGAGACGCCUCGUUAGGAAACACCGAGACGCCUCGUUAGGAAACACAGAGAUGCCUCGUUAGGAAACACCGAGACGCCUCGUUAGGAAACACCGAGACGCCUCGUUAGGAAACACAGAGACGCCUCGUUAGGAAACACCGAGACGCCUCGUUAGGAAACACAGAGAUGCCUCGUUAGGAAACACAGAGACGCCUCGUUAGGAAACACCGAGACGCCUCGUUAGGAAACACAGAGACGCCUCGUUAGGAAACACCGAGACGCCUCGACGAGAAUCACCGAUGCUUCGAUGAGAAACACCGAGACGCCUCGAUGAGAAACACCGAUGCUUCGAUGAGAAACACCGAGACGCCUCGAUGAGAAACACAGAGACGCCUCGAUGAGAAACACAGAGACGCCUCGACGAGAAACACCGAGACGCCUCGAUGAGAAACACCGAUGCUUCGAUGAGAAACAUCGAGACGCCUCGUUAGGAAACACAGAGACGCCUCGACGAGAAUCACCGAGACGCCUCGACGAGAAACACCGAGACGCCUCGAUGAGAAACACCGAUGCUUCGAUGAAAAACACCGAGACGCCUCGAUGAGAAACACCGAUGCUUCGAUGAGAAACACCGAUGCUUCGAUGAGAAACACCGAGAUGCUUGGAUGAAAACCAAAGAUCUUCUCACGACUGAAUCCUCAAAGAAAAAAGGCUGAAAUCCGACUUCCAGAAACACCAGAAACUGAAGACCGUCGUUAUUUAUUGGCCAGUUAAUUGUUAAGGAAUGUGUUUUUGAUACUCUGGAUCUGAUCCGGUUUUUAAAAGAAAAGUCCUUCAGCUGAUUUUUUGAUAUCGCUUUAACGGUUUACAUUUCCUCCCCGCUGUUCGUGUCGUGGUGUGAAGACACUGAAUCAGAGAUAUGUGUAUCGUAAAGGUUGAAGUAAAAACGAAAGAAAAUGUGA
Molecule: long non-coding RNA, 2137 nt
Organism: Gymnodraco acuticeps
Lineage: Eukaryota; Metazoa; Chordata; Actinopteri; Perciformes; Bathydraconidae
Exons: 2
Source: RefSeq, a predicted model, not a curated record